CUACGGGGUGCACCAGUGAGGAAUAUUGCACAAUGGGGGGAACCCUGAUGCAGCAACGCCGCGUGGAGGAUGACGCAUUUCGGUGUGUAAACUCCUUUUAUAUGUCAAGAAAAUGACGGUAGCAUAUGAAUAAGCACCGGCUAACUCCGUGCCAGCAGCCGCGAGUAAUACGGAGGGUGCAAGCGUUACUCGGAAUCACUGGGCGUAAAGGACGUGUAGGCGGGUUGGAAAGUCAGGUGUGAAAUCCUACAGCUUAACUGUAGAACUGCACUUGAAACUUCUAAUCUAGAGUAUGGGAGGGGGAGAUGGAAUUAGUGGUGUAGGGGUAAAAUCCGUAGAUAUCACUAGGAAUACCUAAAGCGAAGGCGAUCUCCUGGAACAUUACUGACGCUAAGGCGUGAAAGCGUGGGGAGCAAACAGGAUUAGAUACCCGGGUAGUC
RNAcentral lists this ribosomal RNA (440 nucleotides) under uncultured bacterium. Its description in RNAcentral is "partial 16S ribosomal RNA". It matches the Rfam family "Bacterial small subunit ribosomal RNA", at positions 339 to 795 of the family's 1533-position model. The record is from RNAcentral.